This 26-nucleotide non-coding RNA is filed under the name Bombyx mori (domestic silkworm). Lineage: Eukaryota; Metazoa; Arthropoda; Insecta; Lepidoptera; Bombycidae. The record is from RNAcentral.
UGUUAAAGACUGUGAGUGGCUAGUUC